RNAcentral lists this ribosomal RNA (486 nucleotides) under uncultured bacterium. RNAcentral's name for it is "bacterial SSU rRNA". It matches the Rfam family "Bacterial small subunit ribosomal RNA", at positions 15 to 507 of the family's 1533-position model. The record is from RNAcentral.
GAUCAUGGCUCAGGACGAACGCUGGCGGCGUGCUUAACACAUGCAAGUCGAGCGGAAAGGCCCUUUCGGGGGUACUCGAGCGGCGAACGGGUGAGUAACACGUGAGUAAUCUGCCCUUGGCUUUGGGAUAACUACCGGAAACGGUGGCUAAUACCGGAUAUGACCAUGCUCGGCAUCGGGUGUGGUGGAAAGUUUUUUCGGCCAGGGAUGUGCUCGCGGCCUAUCAGCUUGUUGGUGGGGUAAUGGCCUACCAAGGCUUCAACGGGUAGCCGGCCUGAGAGGGUGACCGGCCACACUGGGACUGAGACACGGCCCAGACUCCUACGGGAGGCAGCAGUGGGGAAUAUUGGACAAUGGGCGGAAGCCUGAUCCAGCAACGCCGCGUGAGGGAUGACGGCCUUCGGGUUGUAAACCUCUUUCAGUACCGACGAAGCGCCGAUGAUGGUGGUGACGGUAGGUACAGAAGAAGCACCGGCCGACUACGUG